UUGCGUACAAUCAGCUAUUUCACUUAUGAAAUGGCCAAUAACCAGAGAAAAACCGCCAGGAAUGGCGGUUUUAGGGAGCGUAGGCAUGGAUGCCGUUGCUCCCGGCUCGUCAGGUUGGAUUCCGUAUAACCAUUUCAUUAGUGAAAUCUGAUUGGAAGCUC
This is a regulatory RNA element of Lachnospiraceae bacterium 28-4, 161 nucleotides long. The record is from Rfam. NCBI's taxonomy places the organism in Bacteria, Bacillati, Bacillota, Clostridia, Lachnospirales, Lachnospiraceae.